CCUACGGGGGGCUGCAGUGGGGAAUAUUGCACAAUGGGGGAAACCCUGAUGCAGCGACGCCGCGUGAGUGAAGAAGUAAUUCGUUACGUAAAGCUCUAUCAGCAGGGAAGCAAUACUGACCUUACGGUCAGCAGACGGUACCUGAGUAAGAAGCCCCGGCUAACUACGUGCCAGCAGCCGCGGUAAUACGUAGGGGGCAAGCGUUAUCCGGAUUUACUGGGGGUAAAGGGGGCGUAGACGGUGCGCCAAGGCUGGGGUGAAAUGCCGCGGCGUAACUGCGGAACUGCCUUGGAAACUGGCGAACUAGAGUGCGGGAGGGGUAAGCGGAAUUCCUAGUGUAGCGGUGAAAUGCGUAGAUAUUAGGAGGAACACCGGUGGCGAAGGCGGCUUACUGGACCGUAACUGACGUUGAGGCUCGAAAGCGUGGGGAGCAAACAGGAUUAGAUACCCCUGUAGUC
This 458-nucleotide ribosomal RNA is filed under the name uncultured bacterium. RNAcentral's name for it is "partial 16S ribosomal RNA". It matches the Rfam family "Bacterial small subunit ribosomal RNA", at positions 338 to 795 of the family's 1533-position model. The record is from RNAcentral.